RNAcentral lists this ribosomal RNA (561 nucleotides) under Scheffersomyces stipitis. RNAcentral describes it as "LSU rRNA". It matches the Rfam family "Eukaryotic large subunit ribosomal RNA", at positions 46 to 627 of the family's 3401-position model. The record is from RNAcentral. Lineage: Eukaryota; Fungi; Ascomycota; Pichiomycetes; Serinales; Debaryomycetaceae.
CAUAGCGGAGGAAAAGAAACCAACAGGGAUUGCCUUAGUAACGGCGAGUGAAGCGGCAAAAGCUCAAAUUUGAAAUCUGGCACCUUCGGUGUCCGAGUUGUAAUUUGAAGAAGGUAACUUUGGAGUCAGCUCUUGUCUAUGUUCCUUGGAACAGGACGUCACAGAGGGUGAGAAUCCCGUGCGAUGAGAUGUCUGAUUCUAUGUAAAGUGCUUUCGAAGAGUCGAGUUGUUUGGGAAUGCAGCUCUAAGUGGGUGGUAAAUUCCAUCUAAAGCUAAAUAUUGGCGAGAGACCGAUAGCGAACAAGUACAGUGAUGGAAAGAUGAAAAGAACUUUGAAAAGAGAGUGAAAAAGUACGUGAAAUUGUUGAAAGGGAAGGGUUUGAGAUCAGACUUGGUAUUUUGUAUGUCUUGCUUUCGGGUGGGGCCUCUACAGUUUACUGGGCCAGCAUCGGUUUGGACGGUAGGAUAAUGACAUUGGAAUGUGGCACCACUUCGGUGGUGUGUUAUAGACUUUGUUGAUACUGCCUGUCUAGACCGAGGACUGCGUCUUACUAGGAUGCG